AGCUCCAGUAGCGUAUAUUAAAGUUGUUGCAGUUAAAAAGCUCGUAGUUGGAUUUCUGGUUUGAUAAGCCUGGCCCGCCGCGGUUACGUGUGUGAGUGCCGGUGUUUGUCUGCCAUCCUUCUGGUCAACGUGUCUACCCUUCACUGGGCCGGAUACGCGAUCCAGAUCAUUUACUUUGAAAAAAUUAGAGUGUUUAAAGCAGGCUUUUUGCUAUGAAUACAUUAGCAUGGAAUAAUAAUUUAGGACUUUGGCCCUAUUUUGUUGGUUUCUAGAGCUGAAGUAAUGAUUGAUAGGGAUAGUUGGGGGUGCUCGAAUUCAGCGGCCAGAGGUGAAAUUCUUGGAUUCGCUGAAGACGAACUCAUGCGAAAGCAUUCACCAAGGAUGUCUUCU
This 390-nucleotide ribosomal RNA is filed under the name uncultured eukaryote. RNAcentral describes it as "SSU rRNA". It matches the Rfam family "Eukaryotic small subunit ribosomal RNA", at positions 587 to 972 of the family's 1831-position model. The record is from RNAcentral.